Molecule: ribosomal RNA, 462 nt
Filed under: uncultured bacterium
Lineage: Bacteria
Description: partial 16S ribosomal RNA
Rfam family: Bacterial small subunit ribosomal RNA
Source: RNAcentral
GAUGAACGCUGACAGAAUGCUUAACACAUGCAAGUCUUUGGCGAAGCUGUGCUUGCACCGCCUAGCCAAGGCGGACGGGUGAGUAACGCGUAAGGAACUUGCCCUGCAGUCAGGGAUAACAGACGGAAACGACUGAUAAGACCUGGUAAAGUCAGGCGGACUCAUGUCCAGCCUGAUGAAAAGAGAUGCUGCAGGAGAGCCUUGCGUCCUAUCAGCUUGUUGGUGGGGUAACGGCCCACCAAGGCGAUGAUAGGUAGCCGGCCUGAGAGGGUGGACGGCCACAAGGGGACUGAGAUACGGCCCUUACUCCUACGGGAGGCAGCAGUGGGGAAUAUUGGACAAUGGGGGCAACCCUGAUCCAGCAAUUCUGUGUGCACGAUGAAGGUUUUCGGAUUGUAAAGUGCUUUCAGCAGGGAAGAAAAAAUGACGGUACCUGCAGAAGAAGCGACGGCUAAAUACGUG